This 301-nucleotide ribosomal RNA is filed under the name uncultured bacterium. RNAcentral's name for it is "partial 16S ribosomal RNA". It matches the Rfam family "Bacterial small subunit ribosomal RNA", at positions 509 to 807 of the family's 1533-position model. The record is from RNAcentral.
CAGUAGCCACGGUAAAACGAAGGGUGCAAGCGUUACUCGGAAUUACUGGGCGUAAAGCGUGCGUAGGUGGUGGUUUAAGUCCGUUGUGAAAGCCCUGGGCUCAACCUGGGAAUUGCAGUGGAUACUGGGUCACUAGAGUGUGGUAGAGGAUAGUGGAAUUUCCGGUGUAGCAGUGAAAUGCGUAGAGAUCGGAAGGAACAUCUGUGGCGAAGGCGACUAUCUGGGCCAACACUGACACUGAGGCACGAAAGCGUGGGGAGCAAACAGGAUUAGAUACCCCGGUAGUCCCUGUCUCUUAUAC